Molecule: long non-coding RNA, 564 nt
Organism: Rattus norvegicus (Norway rat)
Lineage: Eukaryota; Metazoa; Chordata; Mammalia; Rodentia; Muridae
Source: Ensembl
CUCCAUUGGUUACCUCUUAUUGGUCGAAGGGAAUGUCGGUCUGGAGGCACUAAGACCAUUCACAUCUUCUGCCCGCACCCAUGAUACUACGGAAAGCUAAUUGUUCGCUUGCAAAGAAGGCAAAGCUGUGAAGAAAAGGUUGCUCCACAUUCCUGCCCCUCCAAAGGGGUUGUGACCUACAGGCUGGGAGCUGCUCCCUAGUGGCAUUCUCUAAGGCUCAAGGGCCCCAAUUGUCAUACAAUAUCGACCAAAAGCACUUGUUUUCUUAGGAACCUGUGAGUUUGAAAACACUGUCAGAAAUAUAGGCACCUUAGUGUUUUUCCACAAUAUCAUAGUUUAUUGAGUAACAUUAAAUUCACUAGCUUCCUCAUAAGUUUCCUCUGAGAUGGAAACAUUCCAUACUCCAGGAAUGUAACUCCAGGAAGUAUACUCCAAUUAGCUUCAGGAAAUCCCUGAAGCUGACCAGAUUCACUAGGCCCUCCCCUACCAGAGUAAGUAAUUUACAAGCUGAGAAUACCUCUCAAAUGAGAAAGAGCUGAGUUGCAAAGAAGACUCUGAAAUCAG